GCGGUGAAAUGCGUAGAUAUCAGGAGGAACACCGGUGGCGAAGGCGGGUCUCUGGGCCGAUACUGACGCUGAGGAGCGAAAGCGUGGGGAGCGAACAGGAUUAGAUACCCUGGUAGUCCACGCUGUAAACGUUGGGCGCUAGGUGUGGGGACCAUUCCACGGUUUCUGUGCCGCAGCUAACGCAUUAAGCGCCCCGCCUGGGGAGUACGGCCGCAAGGCUAAAACUCAAAGGAAUUGACGG
RNAcentral lists this ribosomal RNA (241 nucleotides) under uncultured bacterium. Its description in RNAcentral is "partial 16S ribosomal RNA". It matches the Rfam family "Bacterial small subunit ribosomal RNA", at positions 678 to 916 of the family's 1533-position model. The record is from RNAcentral.